This 990-nucleotide long non-coding RNA is filed under the name Mytilus galloprovincialis (Mediterranean mussel). The record is from RNAcentral. Lineage: Eukaryota; Metazoa; Mollusca; Bivalvia; Mytilida; Mytilidae.
CAGUAAUAGAAGAACAUAUAUUAAUUUACAUUGAUUAUUUAGUAAUUAUUCGUUAUUAACAUAGUUUAUACGGCGAAAUAUCUACUUUUUGAUAUGGGACGUGCUCUGACGUCCCUCGGCCCUAGCUUGUCUGGCAAAACAGCGGUUGCACAUCAGAGCAAUCUGUGAAACGUGGAGACCUCUGAAGAUCCUCGCCAAAAUAAAAAAUAAGAGGUAAAACACUAGAAAAUAUCCUGUAAUCAUAUAAAGCAUCAAAACAAAUAAAAACAUUGACAACAAUAAGGCUUAUAAAAAAGAAGAUGUGCCGGUAUGAUUGCCAAUGAGACAACUAUCCACAAAAGACCAAAAUGACACAGACAUUAACAACUAUAGGUCACCGUACGGCCUUCAACAAUGAGCAAAGCCCAUACCGCAAAGUCAGCUAUAAUAGGUCCCGAUAAGACAAUGUAAAACAAUUCAAACGAGAAAACUAACGGCCUUAUUUAUGUAAAAAAAAAAUGAACGAAAAACAAAUAUGUAACACAUAAACAAACGACAACCACUGAAUUACAGGCUCCUGACUUGGGACAGGCACAUACAUAAAUAAUGUGGCGGGGUUAAACAUGUUAGCGGGAUCCCAACCCUCCUCCUAACCUGGGACAGUGGUAUAAAAGUAACUCAUCAGAUGGAUACAUCUAACAAAAAUCUAUGAUUAUUUCAAGAAAAUUAUCAAUGCAUAUGAGCAUAUAAUAUAAAAAAAGAUAUGGUAUGAUUGCCAAUGAAACAACUCUUCACAAGAGACCUAUACAAUUUUAUCAAGUGAGAUGUAAAUAUUUCUGUACUUAACUUUUAAAUUCCACUUAUUUUUUUUUCAUGUUAAAAAUUCAAUAUCCUUAUAAAUGCAUCAAUAUCCCAUAUCCCAUUUACUAUUAGGACAAAUAUCCCAUAUCCCUAAAAUUAAAAUGGCAAAUAUCCCGUAUCCCAAUAUACCCUAUACAAGCCUCUUAAGUC